UGACCUACUAUUCCCCCUAACCGAGAUCAUGGGGUUAAAAUAUCUCUCAUAUCCGCCAGUAAAGGGAUUGGUGGAAAUAAUCGUAUCG
Molecule: non-coding RNA, 88 nt
Filed under: unclassified sequences
Description: PhotoRC-II RNA
Rfam family: PhotoRC-II RNA
Source: RNAcentral